RNAcentral lists this ribosomal RNA (253 nucleotides) under uncultured bacterium. Its description in RNAcentral is "partial 16S ribosomal RNA". It matches the Rfam family "Bacterial small subunit ribosomal RNA", at positions 524 to 776 of the family's 1533-position model. The record is from RNAcentral.
UACGUAGGUGGCAAGCGUUGUCCGGAUUUACUGGGCGUAAAGCGUGUGUAGGCGGACCUUUAAGUAGAACGUGAAAGGUAGGAGCUCAACUCCUACAUUGCUCUCUAUACUGGAGGUCUUGAGUGUCGGAGAGGAAGAUGGAACUGCACGUGUAGCGGUGAAAUGCGUUGAGAUGUGCAGGAACACCAAUGGCGAAGGCAAUCUUCUGGACGAAAACUGACGCUGAGACACGAAAGCCAAGGUAGCAAACAGG